Molecule: long non-coding RNA, 810 nt
Filed under: Homo sapiens (human)
Lineage: Eukaryota; Metazoa; Chordata; Mammalia; Primates; Hominidae
Description: non-protein coding lnc-DPP4-2:17
Source: RNAcentral
AAUUGGAGACGACGGAGAGUCAAGCGGAUGUCCAGGAGGAGCUCUUGGGACAGACGGCGCGGGCGGCCCGGCGUCUCCUGUCUCUGGCAGGACUGUGAGGCGGCACUUAGCGCCCUGGUCGCUCGCGCCCCGCCGACGCCUCCUUUUUCUCUCCCUACCUCUGCGCUCUGCGGCCGCCGCUGAGAUCUGGGACGGCGGCACAUCCAGCCCGGGAGACGACUGGCUAGGAAAUAGAACUGUUAGUAUUUUGAAGCCCAGAUCCCCUUUCGUUUUGGUGUUCACUACUAUUAUUGCCCUCCUCAAAAACUAAAAGGUUCAUUUGAGCUAGAUUUAACUUGGUUAUCUGAGAAGAAAAUUUUUUUAAAAGAGGGGGGAUGGUGUGAUUAGAGGGGACCGGUAAGACGCCCUUUUCUGUAAGUCCGCUUUAUCCACCUCUUGUCAUUAUUGCUUUGCAAGGAUUGGAUUUCAGGGAAAACUAAGGUUUCCCAAAUGUUCAAACCACCUAUUUUAAGCCGAGUUUAGUUUACAGGGUUUAAAGAGUCAUUUAUUCACAUUUCUCCAUGUAAUUAUCGGCAAUCACAUUUUACUCAUGAUCUACUUUGUGCUAGGCUUUCAAAAAGCAAAGUUGCAGAAGAUAUACUUGACAAGUUGAUAUUACACUCUAGGUCUAGGUACAGUCUCUGUUUAAGGCAGCUUGUUUGCCACGUUCCUGUCACUUUCUCAAAUAUGUUCCAAAUAACAAGCAUCUUUAAAGCAUUCCUAAAUCGAGAAUGGUGAUGAAUCUACUGGACAGAGGGUGAGGAAAGAUUA